This is a non-coding RNA of Trichonephila clavipes, 72 nucleotides long. The record is from the annotation of a GenBank genome assembly. Lineage: Eukaryota; Metazoa; Arthropoda; Arachnida; Araneae; Nephilidae.
CGGGGCAUAGCUCACUGGUAGAGCAUUCGACUACUGAUUGAGAGGUCCCUGCUUCAAACCUGGGUGCUCCCU